Molecule: ribosomal RNA, 267 nt
Filed under: uncultured bacterium
Lineage: Bacteria
Description: partial 16S ribosomal RNA
Rfam family: Bacterial small subunit ribosomal RNA
Source: RNAcentral
UACAGGAGCCUCGAGCGUAGGCGGAAUCAACUGGGCUUAAAGCGUGUGUAGGCGGACUUCUAAGUACCUUGUGCAAAUCCCACGGCUCACCCGUGGAACUGCUUGGUAUACUGGGUUGUCUUGAAGGCCUUCUAGGGGGCGAAGUGGAACAAAUGGUGGAGCGGUGAAAUUGGCGUAGUAUAUCAAUUUGGAACGCCAAUGGGUGAAAACAACUCGCUGGGGAAAGUGCUGACGCGUGAGACACGGAAAGCCAGGGGAGCGAACGGG